UAUUGAAAUCGAAUUUUAUUUUUGGAAAAAUGACAUUACACACAUCUUGCAAAUGUACACAGAAAUGAGCAUGAGAUGAAGAACAGAGCUUGAGAGCCAAAAUGAUUGCAAGAGCAGCUCUGUGGCUGCCCAGUACCGAACGCUGUGAAUCUGCAGCAUUCACAGUUCACAACACGUUUCACACAUGGAGAACUUCUCUAAGCUUUGAAGUCCUCUGACCAAAGAAAGCCCUCAUCAAAUUGUGGAGGGAGGAAGAGGGAUAUUAACAGGCACAGGAGAUGAAAAGGGUCUGCUCCAGCUGGUUUACAUGGGCCUCACCAAACCUACCAGUCCAAGUGGGAACAGCAAACCAUAGAGGAGUAUGCCUUCUUGGAACACUGCUUUUGCAUCUCAGCCUAAGAGCAGGCUGGGAAUUGCCUGGGAAACUGACAGCAGUGCACAUAAACCCAUGUCCUUGUCUUUUCUCACUGUAACUAUUCUAAAGGGGCAGCUAAAAAUCCCUAAAUAUCUAUUGUCUUUCUCUUUUUCUAAAAAAUAAUUAUUGGUCGUUGGUCAAGCAUAACCUUCUGAGAGCCUCUGAAUAUCUCAACACUGCUGCAAGGAUAAGUGUUGCCCACUGUGUUUCGAUUAUGGGUGAUUCUGUGAAUUAUUCAAUUUGCAAUGUCAUCAAAUUGCCAAAGAGGCUCCCAAUUUGCCACUGAUUUUUAUUCAAAGGUGAGCUGAGUCUUUGAUCACAAUGCCAUUCCUUGAGAAAUGGUCAAUAACUGCUGAGAGACCAUUGAGAAAUGUCUUUCUUUCCUCCCCCCUUCUGGUUUGUUUGUUCUUUGCUGACUUUACUUGGCAAAAAUUAUUGGGCCUUAAAUCAGUUAUUUACAACCAUAAGACAUCUGGGAGCAGGGGGAGGGAGAAGGCAAGGGAGGGAAGAGGGACCACAAGGAAGAAUAUAUUCUUUUCAGAGGUUAAAAUGAGUUAUUUAAGAAAUGUGAUGUACAAUAAUACCAUGCAUUUACUCUCCAAAGCUAGUCACCAGCAAGCUAACGCCUCUAACACUACAACCACCAAUUACAGCUGUUUUGCUACAGUAACUGAGUUCUAACUACAGCUAUAGGGUAGAAAGGGUGGGCUGUUCCAUUUUGAACUUUAUCCCUUUGAAAGUGGCCAUAAAAGCAUUUUCUGUACAAGUUUAAUGGCACAAAA
This is a long non-coding RNA of Bos taurus (domestic cattle), 1197 nucleotides long. Lineage: Eukaryota; Metazoa; Chordata; Mammalia; Artiodactyla; Bovidae. The record is from Ensembl.